Dromiciops gliroides (monito del monte) is the source of this 427-nucleotide long non-coding RNA. RefSeq lists it as uncharacterized. The record is from RefSeq and is a predicted model, not a curated record. The transcript has 3 exons. NCBI's taxonomy places the organism in Eukaryota, Metazoa, Chordata, Mammalia, Microbiotheria, Microbiotheriidae.
GCCGCCAGUAUCCAGCAGGCAGGCAUCCUUCUCAGCCCUCAGGUGAGGGUGGCCUUGGGAUAGAAAGAGUGGGAAGAUGGGCUUCAGACAAGGCCCAACACACUGGAAAUGCCGGGCUCUGUGGCCUUGAAGCAACUGCAUUUUAUUUGAGCAAAAGCUUUUCAGAGGCUCACGGGUUUACAACUGGAAGGAACUCCAGAAGUCCAACCUCCGAUUUUACAUAGGAGGUAUAACUGAGGCCCAGUGAGGUUAAAUGACCUGCCCAAGGCCACAAAGAUGAGGUUUGGAGUUCAUGGUUCCACCCUGCAAUCAGAAAGACAGAAGGUGGUGAUGAGAGGACCAAAGCUGAUAAGAUCUUACAGAACAAGAGCUUUUCUCAAUAAUGAGCUUCCUGGGCCUGACAGAAAAGUCAGAGAAAUCCCAAAGC